GUGCAAUCUCGGCUCACUGCAACUUCCACCUCCCGGGUUCAAGUGAUUCCCCUGCUCAGCCUCCCGAGGAGCUGGGACUACAGAUGAUGGAGUGGGAGGAAGAAGAGGCACAUGAAUAAACCAUUUACUGCCUGUUCUUGAGCCACAGAUCUGACUGGGCAAGAGUGGGAGCUGGAGCCUUGUGCAGAGAAGAAGCAUCUUUCAAUUAGAAUCAUCAGGAUCUACUCUCAUAACCAUAUUUUCUUGGAGAAAAGUGGGCUACUUAAGAGUAAGUAUUUUAAAUAUAAAAUCAGCUUCCAUAUAUAUGCCCACUCCACCAAGUACUUCCAACUGAAGACUGUUAUACUUGAAUCUCAGCUAUGAGAUUAAAAUAUGCAGAAAACUCAAAAUAUUUAAGAAUUGACUUUCAUCUGCAAGUCAUUAUUUGUAAAUGGGAGCAUAAGUGUGAAAAUUGGCAUAUCAAUUUAAAUAACUAUAUUAUGUUUACUCAGAUGCCAAAAUACUAUCUCUAAUUUUCAGUUUAAGCAUCAGGAAGCAAGAGUACAGUGUAUUUUUUCUGGGAUAACAUUAUGAAUCACUUGGUCAGUGGAAAAUGGAAAGGAAUUUUUCAAAAAACAAAAGUAAGAAAGUAUGUAAACAAAAUUCCAAAGUUCCUAAACUUGCCACAUCCUUUAUUUGUACUGGUAUAUCAUUUGUAAAUUACACUAGCGAGGAAACAAGGGGCAGUAGUUAAAGGACCUGAACAAUUGUCUUGGUUUCUAACACUCUCUCUUUUAGACAUGUAUUGGGCGAUAUAGGUCAUAUCCAGGUAUUUUCUUAAAGCACCAGAAAUAGGGUGUUAUUUUACAAGAUCAAUUAAAUUAUCUGUAUUAUUAAAAACCUAUCAGCAAAUAUUUUUCAUACAUUGAAAUUUCCCUAACAUAGAUAAUAUCCUGAAAUUGGCUAUAUAAUAAUAGCAUGAGCCAUAUUCUCAUAAUUUCAGUAAAUAUUAAACAAAAUAACCCCACAAUAUAUAAUUAGAAGUUGUGAGUGAAUUGCAAUAGAGUAACAUAAAGGGUUUGGUAGUCUCUUUGUGAAGUAAUAGUUAAACUAGACCAAAAUUGUUAGCAUAAUUUACCCAGUUUGAGGGAUGGGGGGAAUUUCACAUAGAAAUAACAAUAUAUGCAAGGGCCCAAGGAGAAGAAAGAAUUCAGCAUAUUUAAGAACCAGAAAAGCAGCUAGUAUUGGCAGAAGCAUAUUGAAUGUACCGAAAUUGAAGCCACCCUCACAGGGCUCACAAGAAUUCCAGACAGAAAUGUAGUUAUAAUUAAGCAUUAAUCAGGCUGCACUUCGACCCACUUGCUUUUAACCAAACAUAGUACCAGAUACUGACCAUGUGCAUCCCCAUUGUUCUAUAGAUAGGAUUUCCACCUUAGAAUUAUAUGACUUCUGUUUAAGAUUACUUAAAAUGCUUUCCAGUGAAACAGCUGGCACCAACCAGCUUGAAGACUCUCACAUAGGAACAGAAUUAACAUGAGAACACAGACUGUUCAUCUCCCUGCCUCAUGACUCUACCCUGCAUUCUUUAGCCAAUCAAUGAUCUCCACACUUCAGCCCAUUUCAAAACUCUUAAAAACCUUUCCCCAAACUUUUUAGGGAGAUAGAUUUCAGGUUUCUUCCCAUCUCCUCACUGAACAGCCCUACGAUUACAUCUCUUUCUGUACUGCAACCCAGUGUCUCAACGUACUGACUUGCCAUGUGCAUUGAGCAACAGACCUAUUACAGUUACAAAGUUGGCACAAGAUAAAGUUUGAAAGCAAAUCAAGGGUCAGAUUUUCUAUGACCUUGUAAGCUGAGACAGGAAGCUUUUAUUUUAUCCUAAUUAAAUAUAUGAUCAUUAAAGUUUGUGAGCAGGAAAUGGCAUGAUCUGAUUUGCAUUUUUAAAACAUUCUGUGUGCUGCAUGAAGAAUAGGUGGAAAGCAAUAAAAGUAGAAACUGAGAGACAAGUAAAUAUGCUACUGC
Long non-coding RNA from Pan troglodytes (chimpanzee), 2001 nucleotides. RefSeq lists it as uncharacterized. The transcript has 3 exons. The record is from RefSeq and is a predicted model, not a curated record. NCBI's taxonomy places the organism in Eukaryota, Metazoa, Chordata, Mammalia, Primates, Hominidae.